Panicum virgatum (switchgrass) is the source of this 191-nucleotide long non-coding RNA. RefSeq lists it as uncharacterized. NCBI's taxonomy places the organism in Eukaryota, Viridiplantae, Streptophyta, Magnoliopsida, Poales, Poaceae. The record is from RefSeq and is a predicted model, not a curated record. The transcript is spliced from 3 exons.
UAUGUAUCCUCCUGCUGUUGGUAGUUCAUUUGUAUUUAAGCUUGGGGACCAGAAUGGACGUAUGCAUAGAUUUACUUGUGGGUCUGAGAGUUUAGAUGAGUUGAUGUCUUCUGUAAUGCAAAGAUUAGGCAUUGGUGGUGAAAAGAGCACAGUUCAACUUUUGUAUGAGGAUGAUGAAGGUGACAAGGUAC